RNAcentral lists this ribosomal RNA (253 nucleotides) under uncultured bacterium. Its description in RNAcentral is "partial 16S ribosomal RNA". It matches the Rfam family "Bacterial small subunit ribosomal RNA", at positions 524 to 776 of the family's 1533-position model. The record is from RNAcentral.
UCCGAAGGGGGCUAUCGUUGUUCGGAAUCACUGGGCGUAAAGCGCACGUAGGCGGAUUUGUAAGUCAGGGGUGAAAUCCCGGGGCUCAACCUCGGAACUGCCUUUGAUACUGCAAGUCUCGAGUUCGGGAGAGGUGAGUGGAAUUCCUAGUGUAGAGGUGAAAUUCGUAGAUAUUAGGAAGAACACCAGUGGCGAAGGCGGCUCACUGGCCCGAUACUGACGCUGAGGUGCGAAAGCGUGGGGAGAAAACAGG